UGAGGGGGGCUGCUCCUAGUACGAGAGGACCGGAGUGGACGCAUCACUGGUGUUCGGGUUGUCAUGCCAAUGGCACUGCCCGGUAGCUAAAUGCGGAAGAGAUAAGUGCUGAAAGCAUCUAAGCACGAAACUUGCCCCGAGAUGAGUUCUCCCUGACUCCUUGAGAGUCCUGAAGGAACGUUGAAGACGACGACGUUGAUAGGCCGGGUGUGUAAGCGCAGCGAUGCGUUGAGCUAACCGGUACUAAUGAACCGUGAGGCUUAACCUUACAACGCCGAAGGUGUUU
Molecule: ribosomal RNA, 286 nt
Filed under: Escherichia coli
Lineage: Bacteria; Pseudomonadati; Pseudomonadota; Gammaproteobacteria; Enterobacterales; Enterobacteriaceae
Also listed under: 3 other names
Description: partial 23S ribosomal RNA
Rfam family: Bacterial large subunit ribosomal RNA
Source: RNAcentral